ACCAAUCAGCUUGGUAAUCAAACAUCAUCAGAGAUCCAUCUGACUAUAGGAGGUGAUCAACUGGUUGGUGCUCAAGUCAUCGUGAAGGUCCUGGGAAUCAUUCUGCUCGUCACUACUUUGCUCAUCUUUGAGUGCUUUUCCCUCCCCAGCGUGUAAAGUCUGCUCGUGUCUCUGCUGCUUUUCAUUGAAGAAGAAGACAUCUAUGUUAACAUGGUGGCCAUGAGGCAGAAGAGGAAGCUAUGAAGCUGUAUCAUCUUCUCUGUAUUCAUUAUUACAUCACAGGUGAUUUAGCUGAAGCUUUUAUCCAAAGCUUACAUUACAUUUUUAACCCAUGGCUUUUUACAUUUUUGCCCGGGGAGCAAUUAGGGGUUAGGUGUCUUGCUCAAGGACACUUCAACUUGGGACAUGGGGCAGCUGGGACUUGAACCACCAACCUUGCAGUUCCUAGCGGACCCUCUCUGCCCCUACGCCACGACGACCCGCUAUUCAUUAGUCUUAGUGCGCUUCUUACAACCAUGUGUGUGGCUUUUCUCUUAAUACUUAAUGGUAUUCUGUUCUGUAACAGUGAAUGGUGAAUAAUGUUUAUUAGCUUUCUGUGUGUCUUUCUAAAAAUCAUCAAUAAAAACAUCCUCUUAUAUUUUAUCUCGUCUUUAUUCGAUGUAAAGUGUAUAAAAUGAAUAAAAAUAAUGAGUUUCAUUGAGCAGAAAGUAUCUGCGCAAGCGCACUAGACUACCGUACAUGACAAUGAGUAAAAACGUUACAACUGUCAGACUUUUCUAAAAACAAAUGUAGCCGGGUGACGUGGGGGCAGAGAGGUGUUCGUACUGCUAGAUGGUCCACAUACAGGAUUAGAGAAAGUGACACUUUAAGUACCAUAGGAGUCAAACUCGCCCGCCGGAUGACUUUGAUAUUGUGAGAAUUAUUUUCUCAACUUUUGGAAGAAUAACAGUGAUUUAAGUGUUGAACAGCAUGAGACAGUGAAUGGUCUUUGUCUCUGCUUAACAGGAGGAAGUCACUACUGUUGUUGUUGAAGCCAUAUUUUCUGUUUUGUUACAAAUCAUUUAUUUGUUUUAUUGGUAGGAAUCAUGUGUAUUCACUUAAUGUAUUUUUUUGUUCAUAUUUGAAAUAACUCACUUCAUUAGAGGCACCUGACGAGGAUCAGCGGAUAAGAGGAGGGGUGGGACUGAGGCACCGGGGCUGGCUUUUGUAUUGGACGGGACAUCGGCACAGUCUUUCGACCUUACGUUGUCCACUCGGUCAAUCAUGUUCAAAUGAAACGACCAAAUGUAAAACUAAAAUAAAUGACGUAAAUGAGAA
Molecule: non-coding RNA, 1317 nt
Organism: Gasterosteus aculeatus aculeatus (three-spined stickleback)
Lineage: Eukaryota; Metazoa; Chordata; Actinopteri; Perciformes; Gasterosteidae
Source: RefSeq, a predicted model, not a curated record